UGCGGCUGCGCCCCUCCGGUAGUAGGAUGUGCAUGUUCUGUUGCGGCUCCACUUCCUUGAGCGGCUGGCUGCUUUCCCCUUACACGUUUCUGCCGAGUGCGAGGAGGAUCCGCAGGUACAAUAAACAAUUGCAUCCCAUCGUCCUGCCCUUCUAAUUCUUCGGGAUGGUACUCUGGUUCAUCACCCUCUGGUCCUUCUAGUCCUCCUGAAUUCAUCAUGAUCAAACUGCAGCAUGUACACAGCAGUACAACAGAACACGUUAUUCGUCAUGAUCAAACUGCAGCAUGUACAUAGCAGUACAACAGUACAACACCAUAUAAACAGCACAAAUGUUCAUCUGCAGUUCUACACCAUAUAAACAUCAUAAAUUUUGCAUGGAUUUGAUCCUGACCAUUCUGCACAAGUAGUACGUCUACGACAUUAAGCUAUGCUUUAACAUUCAGCUAACCCUAAAACAGAAAGAGCACAACUUUAUCAACAGCAAAACGUAUACCUUGGGGUGGGGGCUUGGAGUUGCAGGCUUGCUGGUUGCAGCCGACAGGAAGGAAGAUAUUUG
Molecule: long non-coding RNA, 556 nt
Filed under: Triticum aestivum (bread wheat)
Lineage: Eukaryota; Viridiplantae; Streptophyta; Magnoliopsida; Poales; Poaceae
Description: long non-coding RNA (TAES_LNC005185)
Source: RNAcentral